Molecule: ribosomal RNA, 524 nt
Filed under: uncultured bacterium
Lineage: Bacteria
Description: partial 16S ribosomal RNA
Rfam family: Bacterial small subunit ribosomal RNA
Source: RNAcentral
GACGAACGCUGGCGGCGUGCCUAAUACAUGCAAGUCGAGCGCAGGAAAUCGACGGAACCCUUCGGGGGGAAGUCGACGGAAUGAGCGGCGGACGGGUGAGUAACACGUAAAGAACCUGCCCUCAGGUCUGGGAUAACCACGAGAAAUCGGGGCUAAUACCGGAUGGGUCAUCGGACCGCAUGGUCCGAGGAUGAAAGGCGCUUCGGCGUCGGCUGGGGAUGGCUUUGCGGUGCAUUAGCUAGUUGGUGGGGUAAUGGCCCACCGAGGCGACGAUGCAUAGCCGACCUGAGAGGGUGAUCGGCCACACUGGGACUGAGACACGGCCCAGACUCCUACGGGAGGCAGCAGUAGGGAAUCUUCCACAAUGGACGAAAGUCUGAUGGAGCAACGCCGCGCGAACGAUGAAGGCCUUCGGGUCGUAAAGUUCUGUUGUAAGGGAAGAACAAGUGCCGCAGGCAAUGGCGGCACCUUGACGGUACCUUGCGAGAAAGCCACGGCUAACUACGUGCCAGCAGCCGCCGUAA